Non-coding RNA from Picea glauca (white spruce), 45 nucleotides. The record is from Rfam. Lineage: Eukaryota; Viridiplantae; Streptophyta; Pinopsida; Pinales; Pinaceae.
ACAACGGUGUCUUUGGACACCACCACUGCUCUCAGAUCAUUUCUU